This 76-nucleotide transfer RNA is filed under the name Rubrivirga sp. SAORIC476. RNAcentral's name for it is "tRNA-Thr". It matches the Rfam family "tRNA". From Rfam's summary of the family: Transfer RNA (tRNA) molecules are approximately 80 nucleotides in length. Their secondary structure includes four short double-helical elements and three loops (D, anti-codon, and T loops). RNAcentral also lists the same sequence under 1 other name. The record is from RNAcentral. Lineage: Bacteria; Pseudomonadati; Rhodothermota; Rhodothermia; Rhodothermales; Rubricoccaceae.
GCUGGCGUAGCUCAGUUGGUAGAGCAGCUGAUUUGUAAUCAGCAGGUCGUGGGUUCGAGUCCCUCCGUCAGCUCCG